GCACUCUUACAGAACUCGAGCGUCCC
This 26-nucleotide ribosomal RNA is filed under the name Pyramimonas parkeae. Lineage: Eukaryota; Viridiplantae; Chlorophyta; Pyramimonadophyceae; Pyramimonadales; Pyramimonadaceae. The record is from RNAcentral.